RNAcentral lists this ribosomal RNA (292 nucleotides) under uncultured bacterium. Its description in RNAcentral is "partial 16S ribosomal RNA". It matches the Rfam family "Bacterial small subunit ribosomal RNA", at positions 505 to 796 of the family's 1533-position model. The record is from RNAcentral.
GUGCCAGCCGCCGCGGUAAGACGAACCGUGCAAACGUUGUUCGGAAUCACUGGGCUUAAAGGGCGCGUAGGCGGGGCAGCAAGUCUGUGGUGAAAUCUGUCGGCUCAACCGACAAACGGCCGUGGAUACUGCUGUUCUCGAGGGGUGUAGGGGCAUGCGGAACUUCCGGUGGAGCGGUGAAAUGCGUAGAUAUCGGAAGGAACGCCGGUGGCGAAAGCGAUCCGCUGGACCCUUUCUGACGCUGAGGCGCGAAAGCCAGGGGAGCAAACGGGAUUAGAUACCCCAGUAGUCC